RNAcentral lists this ribosomal RNA (419 nucleotides) under uncultured Campylobacterota bacterium. RNAcentral's name for it is "bacterial LSU rRNA". It matches the Rfam family "Bacterial large subunit ribosomal RNA", at positions 1372 to 1799 of the family's 2925-position model. Lineage: Bacteria; Pseudomonadati; Campylobacterota. The record is from RNAcentral.
UCGUAGGGUUAGUCGGGUCCUAAGCCGAGUCCGAAAGGGGUAGGUGAUGGAAAAUCGGUUAAUAUUCCGAUACCAAUUAUAGAGCGUGAUGGAAGGACGCAUAGGGCUAUCUGAGGUCGCUGAUGGAUUAGCGGCUCGAAGCACAAAGUUAGGGGAAAUGGUAAAUCCGUCCCCGUUUGCGAAGUGUUACAGGCUCUUCAAACCCUUCGGGGAGCGAAGAGAAUCAGGGAUGCCGUCGUGCCUAGAAAAGUUCCUAAGCAUAUCUAUAAUUGCCCGUACCGUAAACCGACACAGGUGGGUGAGAUGAGUAUUCUAAGGCGCGCAGAAGAACUGUGAUUAAGGAACUCUGCAAAAUAGCACCGUAUCUUCGGUAUAAGGUGUGCUUUCUUCGGAAAGUCUCAGCAAAGAGUCCCUCCCGA